RNAcentral lists this ribosomal RNA (681 nucleotides) under uncultured Glomeromycotina. RNAcentral's name for it is "eukaryotic LSU rRNA". It matches the Rfam family "Eukaryotic large subunit ribosomal RNA", at positions 91 to 614 of the family's 3401-position model. Lineage: Eukaryota; Fungi; Glomeromycota. The record is from RNAcentral.
GAGCGAAGAGGGAUAAGCUCAAAUUUUAAAUCUUGUUGGGUUCCGCUUAACAGAGUUGUAUUUUAGAAGAAAUGUUUUCGGCAUCCAGGAUUAGCCUAAAUCCUUUGGGAUAAGGUAUCAUGGAGGGUGAGAAUCCCGUUCAUGGUUAAUCUUAAGGAAGCUCUAUGAUACGUUUUCCAAGAGUCGAGUUGUUUGGGAUUGCACCUCAAAAUGGGAGGUAAAUUUCUCCUAAGGCUAAAUAUUGGCGAGAGACCGAUAGCGAACAAGUACCGUGAGGGAAAGAUGAAAAGAACUUUGAAAAGAGAGUUAAAUAGUACGUGAAAUUGUUGAAAGGGAAACGCUUGAAGUCAGUCGUGCUGGCGCGAAAUCAACCUGCCCGUCGAGCGAUCACCUGCUGUGGCGAGCCUCAAAACCGCUACGACUCGUGACCACUUAAUGGUCUGGUGCACUUUUGUGUCGGCUGGUUAACAUCAAUUUCGAUCAUCAUAAAAAGGCUGGAGGGAUGUGGCUCCUUCGGGAGUGUUAUAACCUUUGGCGGAGUGUGGUGGUCGGGAUUGAGGAUUGCAACGAAUACCUUUAGGGCUGUUCCACCUGGCCUCUCAUCGGUAUCCUGGUGGCGACAGCUUGCUGACGUCGUUAGGGUUCGCCUUCGAACAGGCUAGAGUGUGAGCAAAUUCGUUA